GAUUAAGUUAUUAAGGGCGCACGGUGGAUGCCUUGGCACUAGAAGCCGAUGAAGGACGUUACUAACGACGAUAUGCUUUGGGGAGCUGUAAGUAAGCUUUGAUCCAGAGAUUUCCGAAUGGGGAAACCCAGCAUGAGUUAUGUCAUGUUAUCGAUAUGUGAAUACAUAGCAUAUCAGAAGGCACACCCGGAGAACUGAAACAUCUUAGUACCCGGAGGAAGAGAAAGAAAAUUCGAUUCCCUUAGUAGCGGCGAGCGAAACGGGAAGAGCCCAAACCAACAAGCUUGCUUGUUGGGGUUGUAGGACACUCUAUACGGAGUUACAAAGGACGACAUUAGACGAAUCAUCUGGAAAGAUGAAUCAAAGAAGGUAAUAAUCCUGUAGUCGAAAAUGUUGUCUCUCUUGAGUGGAUCCUGAGUACGACGGAGCACGUGAAAUUCCGUCGGAAUCUGGGAGGACCAUCUCCUAAGGCUAAAUACUCUCUAGUGACCGAUAGUGAACCAGUACCGUGAGGGAAAGGUGAAAAGCACCCCGGAAGGGGAGUGAAAUAGAACCUGAAACCGUGUGCUUACAAGUAGUCAGAGCCCGUUAAUGGGUGAUGGCGUGCCUUUUGUAGAAUGAACCGGCGAGUUACGAUUUGAUGCAAGGUUAAGCAGUAAAUGUGGAGCCGUAGCGAAAGCGAGUCUGAAUAGGGCGUUUAGUAUUUGGUCGUAGACCCGAAACCAGGUGAUCUACCCUUGGUCAGGUUGAAGUUCAGGUAACACUGAAUGGAGGACCGAACCGACUUACGUUGAAAAGUGAGCGGAUGAACUGAGGGUAGCGGAGAAAUUCCAAUCGAACCUGGAGAUAGCUGGUUCUCUCCGAAAUAGCUUUAGGGCUAGCCUCAAGUGAUGAUUAUUGGAGGUAGAGCACUGUUUGGACGAGGGGCCCCUCUCGGGUUACCGAAUUCAGACAAACUCCGAAUGCCAAUUAAUUUAACUUGGGAGUCAGAACAUGGGUGAUAAGGUCCGUGUUCGAAAGGGAAACAGCCCAGACCACCAGCUAAGGUCCCAAAAUAUAUGUUAAGUGGAAAAGGAUGUGGCGUUGCCCAGACAACUAGGAUGUUGGCUUAGAAGCAGCCAUCAUUUAAAGAGUGCGUAAUAGCUCACUAGUCGAGUGACACUGCGCCGAAAAUGUACCGGGGCUAAACAUAUUACCGAAGCUGUGGAUUGUCCUUUGGACAAUGGUAGGAGAGCGUUCUAAGGGCGUUGAAGCAUGAUCGUAAGGACAUGUGGAGCGCUUAGAAGUGAGAAUGCCGGUGUGAGUAGCGAAAGACGGGUGAGAAUCCCGUCCACCGAUUGACUAAGGUUUCCAGAGGAAGGCUCGUCCGCUCUGGGUUAGUCGGGUCCUAAGCUGAGGCCGACAGGCGUAGGCGAUGGAUAACAGGUUGAUAUUCCUGUACCACCUAUAAUCGUUUUAAUCGAUGGGGGGACGCAGUAGGAUAGGCGAAGCGUGCGAUUGGAUUGCACGUCUAAGCAGUAAGGCUGAGUAUUAGG
This 1535-nucleotide ribosomal RNA is filed under the name Staphylococcus aureus. RNAcentral describes it as "partial 23S ribosomal RNA". It matches the Rfam family "Bacterial large subunit ribosomal RNA", at positions 1 to 1536 of the family's 2925-position model. The record is from RNAcentral. Lineage: Bacteria; Bacillati; Bacillota; Bacilli; Caryophanales; Staphylococcaceae.